GCACUCGUGGCGGAACGGCAGACGCACUACCUUGAGGUGGUAGCGUGUAAUUACGUAUGAGUUCAAAUCUCAUCGAGUGCACCA
Molecule: transfer RNA, 84 nt
Filed under: Mycoplasmataceae bacterium
Lineage: Bacteria; Bacillati; Mycoplasmatota; Mollicutes; Mycoplasmatales; Mycoplasmataceae
Description: tRNA-Leu
Rfam family: tRNA
About the family: Transfer RNA (tRNA) molecules are approximately 80 nucleotides in length. Their secondary structure includes four short double-helical elements and three loops (D, anti-codon, and T loops). Further hydrogen bonds mediate the characteristic L-shaped molecular structure. tRNAs have two regions of fundamental functional importance: the anti-codon, which is responsible for specific mRNA codon recognition, and the 3' end, to which the tRNAs corresponding amino acid is attached (by aminoacyl-tRNA synthetases). tRNAs cope with the degeneracy of the genetic code in two manners: having more than one tRNA (with a specific anti-codon) for a particular amino acid; and 'wobble' base-pairing, i.e. permitting non-standard base-pairing at the 3rd anti-codon position.
Source: RNAcentral